This 58-nucleotide transfer RNA is filed under the name Chryseobacterium sp. Its description in RNAcentral is "tRNA-Phe". It matches the Rfam family "tRNA", at positions 8 to 63 of the family's 71-position model. From Rfam's summary of the family: Transfer RNA (tRNA) molecules are approximately 80 nucleotides in length. Their secondary structure includes four short double-helical elements and three loops (D, anti-codon, and T loops). Further hydrogen bonds mediate the characteristic L-shaped molecular structure. tRNAs have two regions of fundamental functional importance: the anti-codon, which is responsible for specific mRNA codon recognition, and the 3' end, to which the tRNAs corresponding amino acid is attached (by aminoacyl-tRNA synthetases). tRNAs cope with the degeneracy of the genetic code in two manners: having more than one tRNA (with a specific anti-codon) for a particular amino acid; and 'wobble' base-pairing, i.e. permitting non-standard base-pairing at the 3rd anti-codon position. Lineage: Bacteria; Pseudomonadati; Bacteroidota; Flavobacteriia; Flavobacteriales; Weeksellaceae. The record is from RNAcentral.
UAGCUCAGUUGGUAGAGCAAUGGAUUGAAAAUCCAUGUGUCCCUGGUUCGAUUCCUGG